UACGUAUGGGGCAAGCGUUAUCCGGAAUUAUUGGGCGUAAAGAGUACGUAGGUGGCAACCUAAGCGCAGGGUUUAAGGCAAUGGCUCAACCAUUGUUCGCCCUGCGAACUGGGAUGCUUGAGUGCAGGAGAGGAAAGCGGAAUUCCUAGUGUAGCGGUGAAAUGCGUAGAUAUUAGGAGGAACACCAGUGGCGAAGGCGGCUUUCUGGACUGUAACUGACACUGAGGUACGAAAGCGUGGGGAGCAAACAGG
Molecule: ribosomal RNA, 252 nt
Filed under: uncultured bacterium
Lineage: Bacteria
Description: partial 16S ribosomal RNA
Rfam family: Bacterial small subunit ribosomal RNA
Source: RNAcentral